This 500-nucleotide ribosomal RNA is filed under the name uncultured bacterium. Its description in RNAcentral is "bacterial SSU rRNA". It matches the Rfam family "Bacterial small subunit ribosomal RNA", at positions 28 to 533 of the family's 1533-position model. The record is from RNAcentral.
GAUGAACGUUGGCGGCGUGCCUAAUACAUGCAAGUCGAACGGAGAGAUCGAUGUAGCAAUACAUUGAUUUUCUUAGUGGCGAACGGGUGAGUAACGCGUUGGUGACCUGCCCCAAAGAGAGGGAUAACAGUUCGAAAGGACUGCUAAUACCAUAUGUGAUCAUUUGGAUUAGAUGCCUUAUGAUUAAAGGAGCUUGCUCCGCUUUGGGAGGGGCCGGCGUGCCAUCAGCUAGUUGGUAGGGUAAUGGCCUACCAAGGCUAUGACGGCUAGGGGACCUGAGAGGGUGGCCCCCCACAAUGGAACUGAAACACGGUCCAUACACCUACGGGUGGCAGCAGUAGGGAAUAUUGGUAAUCUGCGAAAGCGGGAACCAGCAACGCCGCGUGUGCGAAGAAGGCCUUCGGGUUGUAAAGCACUUUUCGGGAGGAAGGAGGAAGGACUGUACUCCCGGAAUAAGUCUCGGCUAACUACGUGCCAGCAGCCGCGGUAAAGUGUGUGUA